This 259-nucleotide ribosomal RNA is filed under the name uncultured prokaryote. RNAcentral describes it as "partial 16S ribosomal RNA". It matches the Rfam family "Bacterial small subunit ribosomal RNA", at positions 524 to 782 of the family's 1533-position model. The record is from RNAcentral.
UACGUAUGUGGCAAGCGUUAUCCGGAAUUAUUGGGCGUAAAGAGCGCGCAGGUGGUUGAUUAAGUCUGAUGUGAAAGCCCACGGCUUAACCGUGGAGGGUCAUUGGAAACUGGUCGACUUGAGUGCAGAAGAGGGAAGUGGAAUUCCAUGUGUAGCGGUGAAAUGCGUAGAGAUAUGGAGGAACACCAGUGGCGAAGGCGGCUUCCUGGUCUGUAACUGACACUGAGGCACGAAAGCGUGGGGAGCAAACAGGAUUAGA